This 305-nucleotide ribosomal RNA is filed under the name uncultured bacterium. RNAcentral describes it as "bacterial SSU rRNA". It matches the Rfam family "Bacterial small subunit ribosomal RNA", at positions 334 to 657 of the family's 1533-position model. The record is from RNAcentral.
UUAUCCUACGGGACGCAGCAGUGGGGAAUAUUGCACAAUGGGCGAAAGCCUGAUGCAGCAACGCCGCGUGAGCGAUGAAGGCCUUCGGGUCGUAAAGCUCUGUCCUCAAGGAAGAUAAUGACGGUACUUGAGGAGGAAGCCCCGGCUAACUACGUGCCAGCAGCCGCGGUAAUACGUAGGGGGCUAGCGUUAUCCGGAAUUACUGGGCGUAAAGGGAGCGUAGGUGGUUUCUUAAGUCAGAGGUGAAAGGCUACGGCUCAACCGUAGUAAGACUUUGAAACGGGGGGACUUGAGUGCAGGAGAGG